CCUACGGGAGGCAGCAGUGAGGAAUAUUGGUCAAUGGACGAGAGUCUGAACCAGCCAAGUAGCGUGAAGGAUGACUGCCCUAUGGGUUGUAAACUUCUUUUAUAUGGGAAUAAAAUGUUCCACGUGUGGGAUUUUGUAUGUACCAUAUGAAUAAGGAUCGGCUAACUCCGUGCCAGCAGCCGCGGUAAUACGGAGGAUCCGAGCGUUAUCCGGAUUUAUUGGGUUUAAAGGGAGCGUAGGUGGAUUGUUAAGUCAGUUGUGAAAGUUUGCGGCUCAACCGUAAAAUGGCAGUUGAAACUGGCAGUCUUGAGUACAGUAGAGGUGGGCGGAAGUCGUGGUGUAGCGGUGAAAUGCUUAGAUAUCACGAAGAACUCCGAUUGCGAAGGCAGUUCACUGGACUGCAACUGACACUGAGGCUCGAAAGUGUGGGUAUCAAACAGGAUUAGAUACCCCAGUAGUC
RNAcentral lists this ribosomal RNA (460 nucleotides) under uncultured bacterium. Its description in RNAcentral is "partial 16S ribosomal RNA". It matches the Rfam family "Bacterial small subunit ribosomal RNA", at positions 338 to 795 of the family's 1533-position model. The record is from RNAcentral.